Long non-coding RNA from Glycine soja, 1808 nucleotides. RefSeq lists it as uncharacterized. The record is from RefSeq and is a predicted model, not a curated record. Lineage: Eukaryota; Viridiplantae; Streptophyta; Magnoliopsida; Fabales; Fabaceae. The transcript has 3 exons.
AAGCAUACCCUCCUCAUUUUCUGAACCCUAAAAUUUUCUCUCGUUCCUCACAACUUGCAGUGCUGUGCCUUCCUCGAAAUUUUUCUCACAUGCUUCCGAUCUCCUUCGUCAUCUCUCCCGAUCAUCCUUGGUCUUCUCUUUCAAUCAUCCUUCGUCAUUUUUUCUUCUUCCUUUGUUAGCAUCACAGGUUAACCAAUUCUUCAUUAAUUUCUUUUUCUUCGCAAUAUUGUUAUGGAUUAGGGUUAUGCUUUUGUUUGUUUCAUUAAGCUUGUGAAAUGUCUCUCAAUCAAGUUCAUGUGAAAAGAAAGAAAGCAGAAUGGUGUGAUAAAAAUACUGAGAUUAUGUUGAAAGUGUGCAUAGAAGAGGUGAAUGCUGGAAAUAAACCUCACAACCACUUCACUAAGCUUGGUUGGGCAAAUAUUGUAGAAAAGUUCAAUAAGGCAACAAAUUUGAGAUAUGAAUAUAAACAAUUCAGAAAUAGGUGGGAUUGUUUGAAAAAGGAAUGGCAAUUAUGGGCUAAGCUUAUUGGGAAGGACACAGGUCUUGGCUGAGAUGGGGAGAAAAAAACCAUUGCAGCUAGUGAUGAAUGGUGGGAAGCGAAAAUUCAGGAGGAUCCUGAAGUAGCCAAGUUUAGAGAGCAAGGCCUCAAAUUCUUACCUGAGAUGGAAUUCCUUUUUAAGGGUACUAUUGCUACUGGUUUUGCAGCAUAUGCACCAUCUGAAGAUUCAAGACAAUAUGAAGGAUUCAACACAAGAACAGAAGAGACAAAUGAUAACAUUGAUGAUAACACUGACAUGGAAGUGAAUGAGCCUGAGAUAGACACGACAACUCAAAACACAUCUUCGGCAAAGGAAAAUGGACAGAGGAAGAGAGGGUGAUAAAAGAAUUGGGGUUGCUGCCAAGCUUUCCUCACAAUUAGAUCGUAUUAUUCAAACAUUUGAAUCUAGUGUAUCUUCUCAAGACCCAACUAGCAUUACUGCAUGUGUAGCAAAGUUGAAAGAUCUACCAGGACUUGAGCGUGGGCGUGAACUAUUUUACAAAGCCACUAAACUUAUGAAAAAAAGGGCAAACAAGAUAUUUAUGGACUAUUGUUUGUGAACUAUUUUACAAAGCUACACUACCACUAAUGUCAUGGUUGUUUGUGACUUUAGCAUGUGUUUCACUUUUGUUUGGGCAGGUUGGGAAGGUUCUGCACAUGAUACUAAGAUAUUUAUGGAGGCUUUACAUAAGCCUGCAUUGCAUUUUCGACAUCCUCCUCAAGGUAAAUAUUAUCUUGUUGAUUCUGGUUAUCCUACUUUUAUGGGUUUUCUAGGACCGUACAAGAAAACUAGGUAUCAUCUCCCGCAAUUUAGAAUUGGGCCUAGAAUCAGGGAAAGAGUUGAAGUUUUUAAUUAUUAUCAUUCCAGUCUUCGAAGUACAAUUGAACGUGCAUUUGGUUUAUGUAAAGCAAGAUGGAAGAUAUUGGGUAAUAUGCCACCUUUUGCUUUGAAGACACAAAACCAAAUCAUUGUUGCUUGCAUGGCUAUACAAACUUCAUUCAAAGAAAUGACAAGAGUGAUGGAGAAUUUGAUUCGCUAGAUGAAGAUAAUGAAGAUAUAGAUAGUGAUGAGGAUGGAAGUGAAGUUGGUCCUAGUACUACAACAUGGGAAGAACCGGAUGCUCAAAGUACUCUACAAAUGGAACGAUUUAGAGAAUCUCUGAAGAAUAUGUUUCCAACACGUAUUUAAUUUCUUUAUUUUUUUAAUACUAUAAGGAUGCAUGUUUAUGGUAUGAGUACAUUUGAACAAUUUUCUAUUGAAAGACAUUAU